CAUGCAAGUCGAACGGCAGCACGGGGGCAACCCUGGUGGCGAGUGGCGAACGGGUGAGUAAUACACCGGAACGUGCCCAGUCGUGGGGGAUAACUACGCGAAAGCGUAGCUAAUACCGCAUACGAUCUACGGAUGAAAGCAGGGGACCGCAAGGCCUUGUGCUCCUGGAGCGGCCGAUAUCUGAUUAGCUAGUUGGUGAGGUAAAGGCUCACCAAGGCGACGAUCAGUAGCUGGUCUGAGAGGACGACCAGCCACACUGGAACUGAGACACGGUCCAGACUCCUACGGGAGGCAGCAGUGGGGAAUUUUGGACAAUGGGCGCAAGCCUGAUCCAGCAAUGCCGCGUGAGUGAAGAAGGCCUUCGGGUUGUAAAGCUCUUUUGUCAGGGAAGAAACGGCUGCGGCUAAUAUCCGCGGCUAAUGACGGUACCUGAAGAAUAAGCACCGGCUAACUACGUGCCAGCAGCCGCGGUAAUACGUAGGGUGCAAGCGUUAAUCGGAAUUACUGGGCGUAAAGCGUGCGCAGGCGGUUUUGUAAGUCUGACGUGAAAUCCCCGGGCUUAACCUGGGAAUUGCGUUGGAGACUGCAANGCUAGAAUCUGGCAGAGGGGGGUAGAAUUCCACGUGUAGCAGUGAAAUGCGUAGAGAUGUGGAGGAACACCGAU
RNAcentral lists this ribosomal RNA (664 nucleotides) under uncultured bacterium. RNAcentral describes it as "bacterial SSU rRNA". It matches the Rfam family "Bacterial small subunit ribosomal RNA", at positions 54 to 713 of the family's 1533-position model. The record is from RNAcentral.